RNAcentral lists this transfer RNA (76 nucleotides) under bacterium. RNAcentral describes it as "tRNA-Ala". It matches the Rfam family "tRNA". Rfam says of the family: Transfer RNA (tRNA) molecules are approximately 80 nucleotides in length. Their secondary structure includes four short double-helical elements and three loops (D, anti-codon, and T loops). The record is from RNAcentral.
GGGGUUAUAGCUCAGCUGGAAGAGCACUUGCAUGGCAUGCAAGGGGUCGUGGGUUCGAGUCCCACUAGCUCCACCA